RNAcentral lists this ribosomal RNA (399 nucleotides) under Triticum aestivum (bread wheat). RNAcentral describes it as "partial small subunit ribosomal RNA". The record is from RNAcentral. Lineage: Eukaryota; Viridiplantae; Streptophyta; Magnoliopsida; Poales; Poaceae.
AUGAUUGCUCUUAUCGGUAUGGCUCCUACCGAGGAGGAGGGAGAAGAGAAGAAGAAGAGGGAAAGGAAGGCAGCCGGAGCUGCUUUCACGUGGAUUCAAAAUAACUUUGCGACGUGCCCUCCGGAUGCAACUGAUGAUGUGAUCCAGACACAUGCUCGUGUGUAUAUGUGGUACAUUGUGUCGAGGACUUUGUUUCCUGACUCCACUGGCAAGAACGCUCCAUGGAUGUGGCUGAAGGCGUUGACCGUCUUCGAUAGCAAAUGGAGCUGGGGUUCAACGACUCUUGCCUACUUGUACCGACAGGUAGUUGGUCUGUUUUGUGAUCAACUCAUUUAUUCAUUAGCAAUGCAAGCUUGCUGUCAAGUUAACAUUGUUUUUCUUUCAUAUGUAGCUGGAUGA